Molecule: transfer RNA, 69 nt
Filed under: Ictidomys tridecemlineatus (thirteen-lined ground squirrel)
Lineage: Eukaryota; Metazoa; Chordata; Mammalia; Rodentia; Sciuridae
Description: Spermophilus tridecemlineatus (thirteen-lined ground squirrel) tRNA
Rfam family: tRNA
About the family: Transfer RNA (tRNA) molecules are approximately 80 nucleotides in length. Their secondary structure includes four short double-helical elements and three loops (D, anti-codon, and T loops). Further hydrogen bonds mediate the characteristic L-shaped molecular structure. tRNAs have two regions of fundamental functional importance: the anti-codon, which is responsible for specific mRNA codon recognition, and the 3' end, to which the tRNAs corresponding amino acid is attached (by aminoacyl-tRNA synthetases). tRNAs cope with the degeneracy of the genetic code in two manners: having more than one tRNA (with a specific anti-codon) for a particular amino acid; and 'wobble' base-pairing, i.e. permitting non-standard base-pairing at the 3rd anti-codon position.
Source: Rfam by way of RNAcentral
GGGGUUGUGGCUCAGUGGUAGAGCACUUGCCUAACAUGUGUGAGGCACUGGGUUCGAUUCUUAGCACCA